RNAcentral lists this ribosomal RNA (447 nucleotides) under uncultured bacterium. Its description in RNAcentral is "partial 16S ribosomal RNA". It matches the Rfam family "Bacterial small subunit ribosomal RNA", at positions 29 to 523 of the family's 1533-position model. The record is from RNAcentral.
AACGAACGCUGGCGGCAGGCUUAGCGCAUGCAAGUCGAACGCCCCGCAAGGGGAGUGGCAGACGGGUGAGUAACGCGUGGGAACAUACCCUUUUCUACGGAAUAGCUCUGGGAAACUGGAAAUAAUACCGUAUGUGCCCUACGGGGGAAAGAUUUAUCGGCAAAGGAUCGGCCCGCGUUGGAUUAGCUAGUUGGUGGGGUAAUGGCCUACCAAGGCGACGAUCCAUAGCUGGUCUGAGAGGAUGAUCAGCCACAUUGGGACUGAGACACGGCCCAAACUCCUACGGGAGGCAGCAGUGGGGAAUAUUGGACAAUGGGCGCAAGCCUGAUCCAGCCAUGCCGCGUGAGUGAUGAAGGCCUUAGGGUUGUAAAGCUCUUUCACCGGAGAAGAUAAUGACGGUAUCCGGAGAAGAAGCCCCGGCUAACUUCGUGCCAGCCGCCGCAGUAA